AAACUUUCAGCAAAUGG
RNAcentral lists this ribosomal RNA (17 nucleotides) under Eimeria ellipsoidalis. RNAcentral's name for it is "partial 5.8S rRNA". Lineage: Eukaryota; Apicomplexa; Conoidasida; Eucoccidiorida; Eimeriidae. The record is from RNAcentral.